GAAACAUAGAGCUGGAGAACAGGGGAUCAGGAACAGAAACAUAGAGCUGGAGAACAGGGGAUGAGGAACAGAAACAUAGAGCUGGAGAACAGGGGAUCAGGAACAGAAACAUAGAGCUGGAGAACAGGGGAUCAGGAACAGAAACAUAGAGCUGGAGAACAGAGGAUCAGAAACAUAGAGCUGGAGAACAGGGGAUCAGGAACAGAAACAUAGAGCUGGAGAACAGAGGAUCAGGAACAGAAACAUAGAGCUGGAGAACAGGGGAUCAGGAACAGAAACAGAGCUGGAGAACAGGGGAUCAGGAACAGAAACAUAGAGCUGGAGAACAGGGGAUCAGGAACAGAAACAUAGAGCUGGAGAACAGGGGAUCAGGAACAGAAACAUAGAGCUGGAGAACAGAGGAUCAGGAACAGAAACAUAGAGCUGGAGAACAGGGGAUCAGGAACAGAAACAUAGAGCUGGAGAACAGGGGAUCAGGAACAGAAACAUAGAGCUGGAGAACAGGGGAUCAGAAACAUAGAGCUGGAGAACAGAGGAUCAGGAACAGAAACAUAGAGCUGGAGAACAGGGGAUCAGGAACAGAAACAUAGAGCUGGAGAACAGAGGAUCAGGAACAGAAACAUAGAGCUGGAGAACAGAGGAUCAGGAACAGAAACAUAGAGCUGGAGAACAGAGGAUCAGGAACAGAAACAUAGAGCUGGAGAACAGAGGAUCAGGAACAGAAACAUAGAGCUGGAGAACAGGGGAUCAGGAACAGAAACAUAGAGCUGGAGAACAGAGGAUCAGAAACAUAGAGCUGGAGAACAGGGGAUCAGGAACAGAAACAUAGAGCUGGAGAACAGAGGAUCAGGAACAGAAACAUAGAGCUGGAGAACAGAGGAUCAGAAACAUAGAGCUGGAGAACAGGGGAUCAGGAACAGAAACAUAGAGCUGGAGAACAGAGGAUCAGAAACAUAGAGCUGGAGAACAGGGGAUCAUGAACAGAAACAUAGAGCUGGAGAACAGGGGAUCAGGAACAGAAACAUAGAGCUGGAGAACAGAGGAUCAGAAACAUAGAGCUGGAGAACAGGGGAUCAGGAACAGAAACAUAGAGCUGGAGAACAGAGGAUCAGGAACAGAAACAUAGAGCUGGAGAACAGGGGAUCAGGAACAGAAACAUAGAGCUGGAGAACAGAGGAUCAGGAACAGAAACAUAGAGCUGGAGAACAGGGGAUCAGGAACAGAAACAUAGAGCUGGAGAACAGGGGAUCAGGAACAGAAACAUAGAGCUGGAGAAGAGAGGAUCAGGAACAGAAACAUAGAGCUGGAGAACAGAGGAUCAGAAACAGAAAUAUAGAGCUGGAGAACAGAGGAUCAGGAACAGAAAUAUAGAGCUGGAGAACAGAGGAUCAGGAACAGAAACAGAGCUGGAGAACAGAGGAUCAGGAACAGAAACAUAGAGCUGGAGAACAGAGGAUCAGAAACAUAGAGCUGGAGAACAGAGGAUCAGGAACAGAAACAUAGAGCUGGAGAACAGAGGAUCAGAAACAUAGAGCUGGAGAACAGUGGAUCAGGAACAGAAACAUAGAGCUGGAGAACAGGGGAUCAAGAACAGAAACAUAGAGCUGGAGAACAGAGGAUCAGAAACAUAGAGCAGGGGAUCAGGAACAGAAACAUAGAGCUGGAGAACAGAGGAUCAGGAACAGAAACAUAGAGCUGGAGAACAGGGGAUCAGGAACAGAAACAUAGAGCUGAGGAACAGGGGAUCAGGAACAGAAACAUAGAGCUGGAGAACAGAGGAUCAGAAACAUAGAGCUGGAGAACAGAGGAUCAGGAACAGAAACAUAGAGCUGGAGAACAGAGGAUCAGGAACAAAAACAGAGCUUGAGAACAGAGGAUCAGGAACAGAAACAUAGAGCUGGAGAACAGAGGAUCAGGAACAGAAACAUAGAGCUGGAGAACAGAGGAUCAGGAACAGAAACAUUGAGCUGGAGAACAGGGGAUCAGGAACAGAAACAUAGAGCUGGAGAACAGGGGAUCAGGAACAGAAACAUAGAGCUGGAGAACAGGGGAUCAGGAACAGAAACAUAGAGCUGGAGAACAGAGGAUCAGAAACAUAGAGCUGGAGAACAGAGGAUCAGGAACAGAAACAUAGAGCUGGAGAACAGAGGAUCAGGAACAGAAACAUAGAGCUGGAGAACAGAGGAUCAGAAACAUAGAGCUGGAGAACAGGGGAUCAGGAACAGAAAUAUAGAGCUGGAGAACAGAGGAUCAG
Molecule: long non-coding RNA, 2254 nt
Filed under: Salmo salar (Atlantic salmon)
Lineage: Eukaryota; Metazoa; Chordata; Actinopteri; Salmoniformes; Salmonidae
Description: lncRNA (ENSSSAG00000103676.1)
Source: RNAcentral